Peromyscus maniculatus bairdii (prairie deer mouse) is the source of this 457-nucleotide long non-coding RNA. RefSeq lists it as uncharacterized. The record is from RefSeq and is a predicted model, not a curated record. Lineage: Eukaryota; Metazoa; Chordata; Mammalia; Rodentia; Cricetidae.
CUUCUCCAACAGCUCUAUCAACUACCAACUACUCAAAUCUAUGAGCCUGGGGGGGGGGCACCUUCAUUCAAACCACCAUAUCCUCUGUGGCCAGACCAGCAAUCGGUGCCAACUGUGCCCUCCAGGGUGACCCAAAAGCUGGACAUGGCACACUUCAUUCUCAGGAAUUCCCUGUUGUAGAGGAGGCAAGGAUUCCUAGGAAGGUGUCAAUAAAGCCUUGAGGUGCAGAGUGACCGGGAAGGACAGGUGCCUGGUCACCUUCCUGCUUUCAUGGAAAGUCUUCAGACUCCUCACAACCAACAUCGGAAGCUUCGAGAUCUAGAUUUAACUCUGUGGUGUGUCUAAGAUGAUGAGUCCUCAUUGUCAGCACAGCUGGAUUGAAGCACCCAGGAGACACACUUCUGGGGAUGUGUUUGGAGGUGUUUCCAGAAAGGUCUAACUGCUGCAAAGAAGACCU